GUGUUCUUUUAGGAAAAUUGUCUUGAAAUAAUACUUGGGAAUCGGCUAAGGUGGGCCAUAAAUAGAGAUUGAAAUGAAUUUUCUACUGGAGAUCCCUCUUAGAAUAAAACCUAAAUCAGCCCCUAACAAUUACCUCGAAAGACAACGAGGCCCCUAACAAAAAAAAAACCCCAACCCGGCCCCUGACAAAAAAAAACCCAAUUCGGCCCCUGACAAUUGCUUCGAAAGGACAACGAGGCUCCUGUGCCAAAAAAAAA
Molecule: non-coding RNA, 257 nt
Organism: Arachis ipaensis
Lineage: Eukaryota; Viridiplantae; Streptophyta; Magnoliopsida; Fabales; Fabaceae
Source: RefSeq, a predicted model, not a curated record